This is a long non-coding RNA of Jatropha curcas, 1132 nucleotides long. RefSeq lists it as uncharacterized. Lineage: Eukaryota; Viridiplantae; Streptophyta; Magnoliopsida; Malpighiales; Euphorbiaceae. The record is from RefSeq and is a predicted model, not a curated record.
AUUCUCAUUUCAAAGGAAAAUCCAAAAAACCUCCUUUUAUUCCUAAUUUUGUGAAUAUUUUAUUACACCUUCAGUCGGAAAGUUUAGAAAGCGAGACGACGUCGUAGCCGCCCAUCGGAUUUCUGCUGCUUCUUCGCUCCGUGCUCGCCUUUUUACUCCCCAGUCUCCACUUUCUCUAGCAGAUUUUGUUUCUCAGAUCCACUGAAUCGCUAACAGGGGCAGCAUAGGCAGCAAGCUGUGUGUGACUACUCAAAAAGAGGAAAUCGGACAGGAAAGGCAAACAAGUGUGAAACAAACUAAGUGGUAACAACUAGCAACUUUGAUGUAUUAGGCGCAUAUUACAAUAUAUGAUUGUCACUUUUGUUGUUAAACGUGUGCUCAGAAUCUGGGAUGUACAAUAAUACAUUGUCACACCUCCAUGGAAUUGAGAAUGCUUCUUGAUCAUUAGGUUGUAUGGUCCACUUGAUUAACUUAAAAUUUUUCUUUUCCACUUUCCUGUCAUUCUGUCCCACCAGAAAAAGGAUGUUUGCUUACUUCAAGUUUCUAUUUCCUACAAUUUUGCUUCAUUCUUCAUCCGUGUCUUCCACAAUUGUACCUUAACACAUCAAGCCUUUGAUAACCACUAGAUACAAUCUUCUAUUGCUCUUUAGAUGUAUGGACAGUACACGUCUCUUUCAAGUUUUUAAGGAAACUUCAUAUAUUUGCUUUUUCUUGUUUCUAUGUUCUCUCUUUAGGGGAUGGCCCUAAUUUUUACUGGACAUGUGUUGCAAAAAUUAAAUUUUGUUUAAGCGUUGCAAUUACGAAUUCAAGUAAGUUUCAGAGAUACUGCAAUUGCUUGAAACUUAAGCAUGCCAGCGCCAAAGAAAAACUUUUCAAGAAAUAUAGCAACAUAUUGAGAGACCCAUGAUUGAAUUAAAACUUCUAGCACCACCACAGGAAUCAUAAUGAAGUUUAAUUUCCAGAACCUAGCAGGUUCUAUAGUCUUAGUUAAGUUUUAGAUUUAUUUUAGUAUUACGAGCAGUGUUGGAGGGAGUUCAAAGUCAAAUGUUUGUAAUUUCAAGUACGCAUGUCAAUUUGUAAACUAUAAUCAGCCAUUGUUUUAAAAUUCAAGAAUUGUUGCUAUUCUAUUAAA